UACGUAGGGCGCGAGCUUUAAUCGGAAUUACUGGGCGUAAAGCGUGCGCAGGCGGUUAUGAAAGACAGAGGUGAAAUCCCCGGGCUCAACCUGGGAACUGCCUUUGUGACUGCAUGACUAGAGUACGGCAGAGGGGGAUGGAAUUCCGCGUGUAGCAGUGAAAUGCGUAGAUAUGCGGAGGAACACCGAUGGCGAAGGCAAUCCCCUGGGGCUGUACUGACGCUCAUGCACGAAAGCGUGGGGAGCAAACAGG
Molecule: ribosomal RNA, 253 nt
Filed under: uncultured bacterium
Lineage: Bacteria
Description: partial 16S ribosomal RNA
Rfam family: Bacterial small subunit ribosomal RNA
Source: RNAcentral